RNAcentral lists this transfer RNA (62 nucleotides) under Narke japonica (Japanese sleeper ray). RNAcentral describes it as "tRNA-Thr". It matches the Rfam family "tRNA", at positions 10 to 71 of the family's 71-position model. Rfam says of the family: Transfer RNA (tRNA) molecules are approximately 80 nucleotides in length. Lineage: Eukaryota; Metazoa; Chordata; Chondrichthyes; Torpediniformes; Narkidae. The record is from RNAcentral.
AUCUAAUAAUAAGACAUUGGUCUUGUAAACCAAAAACUGAGGUGUAAAUCCUCACCAGAACA